ACGAAAAGAGAAGGGAAGGAGGAAGUAGCCCCUUCUCAGUGUGUACCAUCCACAUCGAGCUCAUCACGAGGGUGAAUGUGAACGGGUCAACGGUCAACGCCGGCAUAUAUCAACCCCUAGCUAGCUCCAAGGUGGUCAUCACCAAGCUCAGCCUCCACAAGGACCCGCAAGUAGUCGCUACUCGACCGCCGAGGAGAUCGAUAAUGCAGAACGUUGACUGACGUUGACGGAUAUUCUUGUGGUUGGCUACAUAGUUUCACAAAACCAAGACCCCAGGAACAUGGGACCUGAGGAUGCAACCUGUGAAGAAAUCUCUAAUCAUAAUGAGAGAUUGAGCAGGACAGUAAAGGUCUUUGGAUUUCCUUGUACCAAUAAGGAUGCAGAGGAAACUAGUCCUGAUGAUAUGAGUGCUCAGCUUACGGGAACAGUGGUGAAGUCCUCUGUUGAAAUCAUUACCGGAAAAGAAUCAGUUGAUUUUGUUGGACUGGAGGAAGUGAACCCCAAAUCAAAUAGAUAUAGAUAUGAUGCUGUGGUGCGGUUUAGCAACACCAACCAAGCCAACACACUUAUACAGUGGGCAGCAUCUGGAAUUUUGUGCUAUGGUCACUGUCGUCUGAAGGCCGAGAAAUAUGUGAGGGACAAUGUGCCUCGAUCAAAGACACCUAACCCAUGCAUGGAGAACUUAACAAUGCACUUUGGGUGCCAGACUAAGGACACUGACUUUUAUAGUUUGUGGGGAGCAGACAAUGUUUCAAUGGCGCACGAGGUGGAUCCACGCAGAUUGACUUUCAUUAUGGAAGAUAAGCUUACACAGUAUAAGCUUCAGUUUUAUGAUGCGGGUAUUCAUGAGUUUGAGCUUCGUUGCCCUCGAGUUAAUCUUGAAGAUGAUGAUGGUAGUUCAUUUGCCACAUAUUUACUAAUGAAGUUGAAAGAAGCACCGAGGAUCUUUAAGGAAGUGGAUCAUGGCCCGCAAUUUAAACACCCUUAUUAUAGGAUUUCACCAGAUAAGGAGUGGGUGAGAGCAACAGAUUUCACUCCGUCAUAUUCAAUAGGCCAAUCUUCUGUAGUUUGCUUGAUUAUUGGCCACACAUGUCUUCCAAAUUUUCUGCGGCAGUUUUCUUGCCCUUACAAGCAGAGGUCAGAUGGACUCAGAUUGGUGCAAGGCGAUUCUUAUUCUAUCCACUUGGACUACAAACUCGUACCUAUUGUUGAAAGUCUUGAUCUGCCAUAUGAGAUAGUUUACAAGAUCAACUCAUUGGUUCAGAGAGGGAAGCUUGUUGGUCCAAAUCUAGAUAAAUUUUUUUAUCAUUUGAUGAAUCUGAAAUCUCAGCAGAGGUGGCAAAUAGAAUUUGCUUUGGAUAGAUUGGGGGAUGUGAGAGAUACUUGUUAUGAUCCUUGCUCUUGGCUAGAGGACUUCUACUCCAAUCCUGUCACAUCAAAGUCUGCCACAAGUUCAAGUCAUAAUGCUGCAGCUAUGGUUCCUAACAUUUUAGUCACACCCUCAAAGGUUUACUUUAAUAUUCCAAAGUGCAUGUCCAAUCGUGUACUACGUAUAGUGUUGCAGAGUCAUCCGCAUCUGAUUGGUAACUUCCUUCGAGUAUCUUUUGUUGAGGAGAAUAUGAGCAAGUUAUAUUUCAACAAAGAUGAUGUUGAAAUCAAAGAAAGAAUUCUUGCCAUCUUGAGAAAUGGUUUAAGAAUUGCCGAGAAGAAGUUUGAGUUUCUUGCAUUCACAGGAAGUCAAUUGCGCAAUAAUUCUUUGUGGAUGUUUGCAUCUACACCUGAGCUUACUGCAUCGUCCAUCAGAAAAAAAUUGGGAAACUUCAGCCAUUUGAAGAAUCCGGCUAAAUAUGCAGCAAGGCUAGGUUUAUCUUUUGGUGAGUCAGUUGAGGCAGCACAUGUGACGUGUGAUGAGUAUGAACAUGUUGAGGAUAUCAUUCGUGGCAAGUUUGUCUUCUCUGAUGGGAUUGGGAAGAUAUCUGAGAGUUUUGCUAGGAAAGUGGCCCGGGCAUGUCACUUAAGUGAGACUCCGUCUGCAUUUCAGAUACGAUAUGCCGGUUACAAGGGUGUGGUAGCUAUUGAUCCUGACUUAAAGGAGAAGAAGCUCAUAUUGAGAGAUAGUAUGCGUAAGUAUCAGUCACAGAUCACGGCAUUUGACAUCUUGAGUCACAGUAUGUAUAUACCGUAUUUUUUGAACCGACAGCUGAUCUUGCUCAUGUCUUCUAGAGGAGUUGAGGAUGAAGUCUUUUUGGAGAAGCAGAGAUUGUUUAUACAACAGUUGACAGAAUUAUCUAUGAACCCUUCAACAAAUGCACAUGACAUGGAGAGAUAUGCCGGAGAGAGGACAAACACUUUCAAGGAACUUGAUUUUUUUGAUAGACUUGAUGAAUCAUUCAGAGAUCAGCCUUUGAAGGUGAUGAGAAAUGAAUCAAGAAUCUAUAUUCCUGAUGGAAGAGUGAUGAUGGGGUGUUUGGAUGAGACUGCUAUAUUAGAACAUGGUCAAGUAUUUGUCCAGUAUAGUCAAUUGGAGUCUUGCGGAUUUGAUGAGAGAAGCAAGAAGGAAAAAAAGAGCAUCAUCGUGAAGGGAAAUGUAGUUAUUGCUAGAAGUCCAUGUCUGCAUCCGGGAGACUUGCUUGUUUUAACGGCUGUGGAUAUUCCAGCUCUACAUCAUAUGGUGGACUGUGUUGUAUUUUCACAGAAUGGAGAAAGGCCUAAUCCAGAUAAAACCUCGGGAGGUGAUCUUGAUGGAGAUCUUUAUCAUGUGUGUUGGGACCCAACUUUAAUUCCUAGCCUACCAUUUGAUGCUGCGGAUUAUCCUGCAUCAAAAAGUUCUGAAUUAAAUGAGGUCAAGAUUGAGGAUGUUAAGAAAUAUUUUGUGGAAUACAUGUUAAAGGACACUUUGGGAAAAAUUACGAAUGCGUGGUAUAUUUCUGCGGAUUUAAAUGGAGAAGGUGCACGGAGUUCCCAGUGUUUAGACCUUGCACAGCUAGCUUCAAAGGCUGUUGAUUCUGCAAAAAGUGGUGAAGAUGUUUCCUUACCAUUCUUUUAUGGGACAUACCCAGAUUUCAUGGAAAAGAAUCCUAAUCAGACCUAUAAAUCAAACAAAGUGCUUGGAAAACUUUAUCGUCAGUGGAAGACCAUGGUGCUAGAUGAAUCUUAGCUCAGGCUGUGCUGGAGGGUCUGGAACCAUAUUUGGAUGGUAGCUCCACUUAUUAUGUAUAACAAGUAGUUUCUCAUUUCCUUCUUGAGGACUGUAGCACCGAUUGGCAACAGCCAGAUUCUAGCUUACAUUCAGGCACAUUAGAAACUUCAGUUGGAAAUUGCUACAUCAGGUCACUUGAUUGGCGCGGAGAUGAGUAUAAAGAGGAACCGACCCAGUGAAGAACUGAUCUGCUGUUACUACAACUAAUAAAUAGUCUGAUUCAAUUUUGAACUUCUGGGAAAAAUAUUAUCCUUAUUAAACAGUUGUAUCCUCGGUUUCUGUAAACCUACUUGAGUAGAAAGACUAACGUAGAUUCUUUUAUACAUAUCAUGGGCGUUACUGUUUAUGGUGCAUAUAGACUGUUUAGAAUGACCUUGCCAUAUUUCCAUCAUUUUUAUCUAUAUUAAGAGAACCUGUUACGCUUGGCC
Molecule: RNA transcript, 3627 nt
Organism: Rosa chinensis
Lineage: Eukaryota; Viridiplantae; Streptophyta; Magnoliopsida; Rosales; Rosaceae
Gene name: RNA-dependent RNA polymerase 1
Exons: 8
Source: RefSeq, a predicted model, not a curated record